Molecule: ribosomal RNA, 444 nt
Filed under: uncultured bacterium
Lineage: Bacteria
Description: bacterial SSU rRNA
Rfam family: Bacterial small subunit ribosomal RNA
Source: RNAcentral
AACGCGAAGAACCUUACCUGGGUUUGACAUGCCUCUCUAAGCCGGUGAAAGCCGGUGAGUGUAGCAAUACAUAAUUGGCACAGGUGCUGCAUGGCUGUCGUCAGCUCGUGUCGUGAGAUGUUCGGUUAAGUCCGGCAACGAGCGCAACCCUCGUCCUUAGUUGCCAGCGGGUCAUGCCGGGAACUCUAAGGAGACAAACCCCUUAUAGGGGUGGGAAGGUGGGGACGACGUCAAGUCAGUAUGGCCCUUAUACCCAGGGCUGCACACGUGCUACAAUGCCUGGUACAAAAGGAAGCAAAACCGCGAGGUCGAGCCAAUCCCCAAAACCAGGCUCAGUUCAGAUUGGAGUCUGCAACUCGACUCCAUGAAGCCGGAAUCGCUAGUAAAGGUGUAUCAGCAACGGCACCUUGAAUACGUUCCCGGGCCUUGUACACAACGCUAGUC